Molecule: unclassified non-coding RNA, 148 nt
Organism: Pongo abelii (Sumatran orangutan)
Lineage: Eukaryota; Metazoa; Chordata; Mammalia; Primates; Hominidae
Rfam family: Metazoan signal recognition particle RNA
About the family: The signal recognition particle (SRP) is a universally conserved ribonucleoprotein. It is involved in the co-translational targeting of proteins to membranes.
Source: Ensembl
GCUGGGCGUGGUGGUGCAUGUCUGUAAUCCCAGCUACUCGGGAGGCUGAGGUGGGAGGAUUGCUUGAGCCUGGGAGAUCGAGGCUGCAGUGAGCCAUGAUCGUGCCACUGCACUCCAGCCUGGGUGAUGGAGCAAGAUCCUGUUUCAA